Molecule: ribosomal RNA, 254 nt
Filed under: uncultured bacterium
Lineage: Bacteria
Description: partial 16S ribosomal RNA
Rfam family: Bacterial small subunit ribosomal RNA
Source: RNAcentral
CUUUCUUUGCUGGCGACCGGCGCACGGGUGAGUAACACGUAUCCAACCUGCCCUUUACUCGGGGAUAGCCUUUCGAAAGGAAGAUUAAUACCCGAUAGCAUAAUGAUUCCGCAUGGUUUCAUUAUUAAAGGAUUCCGGUAAAGGAUGGGGAUGCGUUCCAUUAGGUUGUUGGUGGGGUAACGGCCCACCAAGCCUUCGAUGGAUAGGGGUUCUGAGAGGAAGGUCCCCCACAUUGGAACUGAGACACGGUCCAA